Non-coding RNA from Gossypium raimondii (Peruvian cotton), 125 nucleotides. The record is from Rfam. NCBI's taxonomy places the organism in Eukaryota, Viridiplantae, Streptophyta, Magnoliopsida, Malvales, Malvaceae.
UGUUGAAAUUUUUAUCUAUUUUUAUUAUUAAAAAUUGGUGUAAUUGACAGAAUAACCAAACAGUUACCUCAUUCUAAUGUACAUGGACUAAUUUUUAACUGUAAAAAUGGAUGGAAUUUUUAACA